This is a long non-coding RNA of Telopea speciosissima, 92 nucleotides long. RefSeq lists it as uncharacterized. The record is from RefSeq and is a predicted model, not a curated record. Lineage: Eukaryota; Viridiplantae; Streptophyta; Magnoliopsida; Proteales; Proteaceae. The transcript is spliced from 3 exons.
UGUCUCACAUUGAAGAUUUGUUAAGUCACUGGAUGACAGUGGACUUCCUGUCUUGCACCUGCGGCCCUAUACAGUUUGAAGAUUCAUUUCAU